This 125-nucleotide small RNA is filed under the name Marmota monax (woodchuck). The record is from RNAcentral. Lineage: Eukaryota; Metazoa; Chordata; Mammalia; Rodentia; Sciuridae.
GCUAGGUGUGGUGGCAUACGCCUGUAAUCCCAGCAGCUCAGGAGGCUGAGGCAGGAGAAUCUCAUGUUCAAGCCCAGCCUCAGCAAAAGCAAGAUGCUAAGCAACUCAGUGAGACCCUGUCUCUA